Molecule: ribosomal RNA, 484 nt
Filed under: uncultured bacterium
Lineage: Bacteria
Description: partial 16S ribosomal RNA
Rfam family: Bacterial small subunit ribosomal RNA
Source: RNAcentral
AUUGAACGCUGGCGGCAGGCCUAACACAUGCCAGUCGAGCGGAUGAAGGGAGCUUGCUCCUGGAUUCAGCGGCGGACGGGUGAGUAAUGCCUAGGAAUCUGCCUGGUAGUGGGGGAUAACGUCCGGAAACGGGCGCUAAUACCGCAUACGUCCUGAGGGAGAAAGUGGGGGAUCUUCGGACCUCACGCUAUCAGAUGAGCCUAGGUCGGAUUAGCUAGUUGGUGGGGUAAAGGCCUACCAAGGCGACGAUCCGUAACUGGUCAGAGAGGAUGAUCAGUCACACUGGAACUGAGACACGGUCCAGACUCCUACGGGAGGCAGCAGUGGGGAAUAUUGGACAAUGGGCGAAAGCCUGAUCCAGCCAUGCCGCGUGUGUGAAGAAGGUCUUCGGAUUGUAAAGCACUUUAAGUUGGGAGGAAGGGCAGUAAGUUAAUACCUUGCUGUUUUGACGUUACCAACAGAAUAAGCACCGGCUAACUUCGUG